Long non-coding RNA from Amphimedon queenslandica, 324 nucleotides. RefSeq lists it as uncharacterized. The record is from RefSeq and is a predicted model, not a curated record. The transcript is spliced from 2 exons. Lineage: Eukaryota; Metazoa; Porifera; Demospongiae; Haplosclerida; Niphatidae.
CCUUGUCUCAAAUAAACAAAUUAUCACAGCCAUCACCAUUACUGAAAAUCAUUACUUUUCUGAUAAAUUUGAAUUACCAUUACAAUUCAUUGCUAUGCACCUCUCUUUCUUUCUACCCUUUUUCCUUCUUUAGUGCCUCAAUCUUGCAAUGUACCUCUAUCUUGCAAUGGACCAAGGUACUACUGAUGUCAUCACAUAAUGAGUCUUACAUAAUUCAAGACAAAGGCGUCAAGACAACACUAAGACUAAAAACUGAUUUAUUAAAUUAUUGUGUUUUUUAUAAUUAUUAUUGUUCAAAUGGAAUAUUUGGCACUGUGCAGCAAA